CCUACGGGAGGCAGCAGUGGGGAAUAUUGCGCAAUGGGCGAAAGCCUGACGCAGCGACGCCGCGUGAGGGAUGAAGGUCUUCGGAUCGUAAACCUCUGUCAGCAGGGGAGCACGGUCCCUGUGCUAAUCAGCAGUGAAUUGACGGUACCUGCAAAGGACGCACCGGCUAACUCCGUGCCAGCAGCCGCGGUUAUACGGAGGGUGCGAGCGGUAAUCGGAAUUACUGGGCGUAAAGCGGUCGUAGGCGGUAUGUCAAGGCAAGGGUUAAAUCCCCGGGCCCAACGUGGGAACUGCCUUUGAAACUGGGAAACUUGAGUGUGUGAAGGGAUAGUGGAAU
This 337-nucleotide ribosomal RNA is filed under the name uncultured bacterium. RNAcentral describes it as "partial 16S ribosomal RNA". It matches the Rfam family "Bacterial small subunit ribosomal RNA", at positions 338 to 667 of the family's 1533-position model. The record is from RNAcentral.